UCGGAAGCUGCGAUCUCCAGAAGGAGCAC
RNAcentral lists this small RNA (29 nucleotides) under Bombyx mori (domestic silkworm). RNAcentral's name for it is "ovarian small RNA-28893". The record is from RNAcentral. Lineage: Eukaryota; Metazoa; Arthropoda; Insecta; Lepidoptera; Bombycidae.